GCUUCUUUAAGUCCGCCUCCAUCGCCCGCUUCUUCCCCCAGUUCGAGUCGGCCACCGCAAGCGUAUGAUGAAUGUGCAUUAAAUUAACCAUUCCCUCCGUGCUCGUCGCCACACUCUCGGGCUCGCUUGGUGCAGGUCGGGAACCGAUCAGUCGGGGUUAGGCCGCCGGAUUCCGCCGCUGCCGACGCCUUAUCCGGUCCGCCCUCCCCCCGCUUUGGCUGGCUUGCUUCCCCACUUGCAUCAAGUGAAUUCGAGAAUACUUGGCGAAAAAGGAAGGCUCGCGAUUGGAUUAGGGUCUUCCAUCGAACCGUGUUCUCUGGUAGUGUUACUCUCUUGUGGUUUUUUCUCGGCUUGUCGAUGAAAGGUGGGCUUUUUUGCGGGAUAUGCAGCUACUUGGGCAUAUACAGAGUAAGAACAAGUUACCUCAGUUGCUUUCUUCAGAUUCGAUCUAUAGGCAUCGAGGUAAUUAUUCGAUGCGCGAUCCAAGGCUAGCUUGCUCUUCUCAACUUACUACGUCAUCAUGUGUGUUGUUAUCAAGCUACUUCCUGGAAUUAAUCUGCUUAAGCUCGACCACCGACCGAGAAGGGAGUGCAGCGACAAGAUCACUUUUAAGAUCCAAUGCGAAGUGCA
Musa acuminata subsp. malaccensis (wild Malaysian banana) is the source of this 630-nucleotide long non-coding RNA. RefSeq lists it as uncharacterized. The record is from RefSeq and is a predicted model, not a curated record. NCBI's taxonomy places the organism in Eukaryota, Viridiplantae, Streptophyta, Magnoliopsida, Zingiberales, Musaceae.